This 344-nucleotide ribosomal RNA is filed under the name uncultured bacterium. RNAcentral's name for it is "bacterial SSU rRNA". It matches the Rfam family "Bacterial small subunit ribosomal RNA", at positions 28 to 371 of the family's 1533-position model. The record is from RNAcentral.
GAUUAACGCUAGCGGCAGGCCUAAUACAUGCAAGUUGUACGGGAUUAUUGGUAGCAAUACUGAUAUGAGAGUAGCGCACGGGUGCGUAACACGUAUGCAACCUACCUUUAACUGGGGAAUAGCUCACCGAAAGGUGAAUUAACACCGCAUAAAAUCACAGAAGGACAUCCUUUAAUGAUUAAAUCUCCGGAGGUUAAAGAUGGGCAUGCGUCCGAUUAGCUAGUUGGCGGGGAAUAGCCCACCAAGGCAACGAUCAGUAGGGGUCUGAGAGGAUGAUCCCCCACACUGGUACUGAGACACGGACCAGACUCCUACGGGAGGCAGCAGUAAGGAAUAUUGGACAA